This 45-nucleotide transfer RNA is filed under the name Ampelopsis glandulosa. Its description in RNAcentral is "partial tRNA-His". Lineage: Eukaryota; Viridiplantae; Streptophyta; Magnoliopsida; Vitales; Vitaceae. The record is from RNAcentral.
GGCGGAUGUAGCCAAGGGGAUCAAGGCAGUGNAAUUUGUGAAUCC